UUUUUCCCUGUCAUUCACACUAGGCUUUAAAGGAUUUGCCUUUACUGUAGUGUACUGAAUAAGUCCUGGAUUCAGAAUCUGUAUAGGAUCAUAUGACCCUGGAAAAAGUGCUCCAUCUUGGCUGAGGGACCGCAGCAAGACGCCUUCAUUUUAUCCCCUUGGCAUACCGUGCCUGAUGAAAAUCACAGCUUUUAUUCCUAUAGCAGUUGCCUUCAUUAAUGCUCAGGACUUCAAACAACAAUCUGCCCAAUGGAAAGAGAACACUCGGUAACUGGACUAUAAGUACAGUAGAACUUCCAAGUAGCAACUUAAGAAUACAUGGGUGAAAAAAAUGUCCUAAAUCACUAUGAUUAGAGAAAUUUAAAUUAAAGCAACUCUGAGGUACUACCUCAAAUCUAUCAG
Phascolarctos cinereus (koala) is the source of this 402-nucleotide long non-coding RNA. RefSeq lists it as uncharacterized. NCBI's taxonomy places the organism in Eukaryota, Metazoa, Chordata, Mammalia, Diprotodontia, Phascolarctidae. The record is from RefSeq and is a predicted model, not a curated record.